Molecule: ribosomal RNA, 234 nt
Filed under: Escherichia coli
Lineage: Bacteria; Pseudomonadati; Pseudomonadota; Gammaproteobacteria; Enterobacterales; Enterobacteriaceae
Description: partial 23S ribosomal RNA
Rfam family: Bacterial large subunit ribosomal RNA
Source: RNAcentral
UGAAUCCAUAGGUUAAUGAGGCGAACCGGGGGAACUGAAACAUCUAAGUACCCCGAGGAAAAGAAAUCAACCGAGAUUCCCCCAGUAGCGGCGAGCGAACGGGGAGCAGCCCAGAGCCUGAAUCAGUGUGUGUGUUAGUGGAAGCGUCUGGAAAGGCGCGCGAUACAGGGUGACAGCCCCGUACACAAAAAUGCACAUGCUGUGAGCUCGAUGAGUAGGGCGGGACACGUGGUA